GACGAACGCUGGCGGCGUGCUUAACACAUGCAAGUCGAGCGGUAAGGCCCUUUCGGGGGUACACGAGCGGCGAACGGGUGAGUAACACGUGGGUGACCUGCCCUUAGCUCUGGGAUAAGCCUGGGAAACUGGGUCUAAUACCGGAUAUGACUCCAUGACGCAUGUUGUGGGGUGGAAAGCCUUGUGCGGCUAGGGAUGGGCCUGCGGCCUAUCAGCUUGUUGGUGGGGUGAUGGCCUACCAAGGCGACGACGGGUAGCCGGCCUGAGAGGGCGACCGGCCACACUGGGACUGAGACACGGCCCAGACUCCUACGGGAGGCAGCAGUGGGGAAUCUUGCGCAAUGGGCGAAAGCCUGACGCAGCGACGCCGCGUGGGGAGUGACGGCCU
RNAcentral lists this ribosomal RNA (388 nucleotides) under uncultured bacterium. RNAcentral's name for it is "bacterial SSU rRNA". It matches the Rfam family "Bacterial small subunit ribosomal RNA", at positions 28 to 417 of the family's 1533-position model. The record is from RNAcentral.